Molecule: long non-coding RNA, 3806 nt
Organism: Varroa destructor (honeybee mite)
Lineage: Eukaryota; Metazoa; Arthropoda; Arachnida; Mesostigmata; Varroidae
Source: RefSeq, a predicted model, not a curated record
UAUUUUCAUCUCAAGUAAGACGAAUGGUGCGUUUCGAACAAUGGUGAAAUAUUACAUCAGCUCCUACUCAUAGGCAUGCCAGCCAGCCAUUUACUCGCCUUGAUGUUGUGUUGCCACCGCCAUGUUGCCCGUUCACUGGUCGGACGAAAGACGAACGGUAUUUGGCAGAGAACAAAGUAAAACCGGGUAAGCGAUUUUCGACCCGCCAGCAUUGCUUCCAACGAGCUUCUGAUAGUUGGUUGUAUGGCAGACAGGGAAAGCACGAGGACGCGGCAAGAGAGAAUUCGCAAUGGCCGGUUAACGCGACAAUGGAAUCAUCCUUCCACUUAUCCCUUGCAGACUCUCCUGUACCGCGACGUAUCCUUGCCUAACACAAGCGAAUAUGCACGCGCGGUGGCCUAUAUCUUUUGCUGUCUUGCAAUGUCGAGUAGAUACGUAGACUGUCCCCGACCCUUGGUCUACUCUCACCACUCGAGGAUGUUUCCGGGAAAUAAAUUACAUACUUACGGUAAAUUUCGAAAUGUCAACUGGCCGCAUACAUAGGGAAACCGACGCCUACGGCAGAUAAGUAUACGCUACUUCUAAUUUCUUCUCCUCACGCUUAGUGCUUUAAUAUCAGCGGCGCCCUGAAGGUUUCCACGCCGUUACACAAGAAUACAUUUAAAGUUGCUCUACAAGACAAAUUCAGCUGGUACAUCGUAUACUUCUCGGUAUCUUAUAUUUAAACACGACAAUGCGGUGACAUUUCAUGACCAGAUUGAAUAUAGUCAAUCUUGAACUAAAUUUAGGAUAAACAAAUACAAAAUAUGUAAAUAAAUACAGAGUAAGUCUUUGUGCCGGUUUAGAAUAAUACAAACAAAUUAAAUCGACUUUUAUGUCACUGCUAAGCAAAACAUAUAGUUGCCCCUGUGGCCAGUUAACGUUUUGAUUAUAUUCACUUAAAAAGCCUAUAACGACCCCCCAUUGGUAUAUUUGAUAAAAAGCAUAUUGGCGAGCAAUUACAAGUACAUAUUGUCAUCUAAGUAAAAAAAAAAAAAAAGUAUUAACCGGAUUGAGGCUAAAACUGAAACAAAUAGUAUUUUCAAAUUACAUACCGCUGUUGAGAUCGAUGAGCUUCUGUCACCUCUCUAUUAAUACCAUAAUCCGAUCAGUGUAACUUUCGUAUGAUUUCAUAUAGUGAAAAAUUGUGACAAAAUGCUUUUUACAUUCCUCCAUUUAGGGAGUUUUGCAAAGACUGGAACAGAUGGUAGGCUGAUAGUGCAAGGUUCCGCCUCUACAGCAAAUACAUGAAAUUUUCCCAUCUCAAUUCUCGCAGUGUUUGCCCGAUCGCUAGAGAUGUGUAUGAUCCGAUAUUAUUAUAGCGGAAGAUGAUCCCUUUUCUAAUAACUAAUUUCAACCAGUUUUUUCCAACGGCAUGUAUCGUAAUAAUGUUUGCAUUAGGGGGUCCGAAUCAGUUAUUUUUCCAACUAGCAUCAGUAGAGCAGCACCUCUUUGGCGUAAGUCCAAACUCUGCCAUAAAUCAUUAAACACAUUUUUCCAUCUGUUUUUGUUUUUUGUCUAUAUGAUACGGAGCCAUCUAGCUAAAAAUACUUCUUCAACAAGCAAAUAUAAUUGCAGCGUGCAACAUCUAGUCGAAGUUCAGUAUUAUCAUGCUCGCCUGUACACGAAGGAAGUUCCCGCACGGUUCCCCUGCUCGUUGAACAGCCUGUACGGAUUAACCACACGCAUCAAGCUACUGAGAGCGAGGAUCAAAGGGAGGUGAACUGACGAUCUAUUGAUACUGCACCUGCCGUUUUGGUAACCUGCAGCUGGACAGUGCAGCCGGCCUCAUUGUUUGUUUUACGUUACCUACUGAACGUCCUCCACCUAUCGCGCAACUGUUGUGCUGACGAGGAAAAGCCCUAGAGUGAUAGAAAGCUUUUGCGAAACAUUGUCGAGGUACUAGACUGCCACAUAGAUUUCUCAUAUACCCAUCGAUUCUUCUACGAGCCUGCGCAUUAAAAAGAAAGGAUGAAAAGAUUCUAGAGGCAUGUUCAAACAGCUAUGGCCUAGCGGAGAGAAACAACGCACGUAAGCAGAUAAAGCUACUUCGUGCACGCAAAUUCCGGCUGACCGUCGACUGCAUGAAACAUACAUACAUGUAGCGCCGUAUAUGGACUGUGUAUAAAUUAUCCUUUAAGGUCUCUGGACAUAACGAGAAGCCGCAAUAUAAGCCAUUUGCGACCGACCUUUCAGUUAUUUUCCUUUCCUUCAUUCUCCCCUCUCUGCGUUUGCUCUAUCUUCGUUUCAGGUUCUGCUUUGAAGGAGUGCUGAUCGUGCUGUGAGUAAUGUUAGUGCCUCCGGGAAUCGCUUCGACUGGGGCAUCAGCUACGCUAUUGGCUUCAGCUAGGCACUGGUGGGCACCGCGCCUCGCAUUGGCGUUGGCUCAACGUGUUAGUUCAUUCGUUCUUGCUGUGUUCAUCUGCAACCUAUUGCUGCCACCUAUUGUUCUAAUAUGUUCGCUAUAAUUAAGUCUUCUUGAUAAUCUAGUUACCCCCCAUCGAUAGAAUAAACAACUCCAGGACAAACGCGACAAUGGCCGUAGUCCUUUGCAGCUAGCGAAUCACCUGCACUUCCUGGAGGUAGCUUCGUCCGUCUGUGUGCCAAUCAGAAAGAGAGUAUUUAGUCAGGUGCAACUCGCAUGAAGCGUCGCCUGCGUCUACAGCGGGCAGUUGUACAAGAAGCAUGGGCCCAGAAGAUUCCCACUGCCUAAAUUUGUGCCUACCAACUUCUUUCGAAGACGCAAGACCCAGCUGCCCAGAACGGCCCGCAACAAUUAUUAGCCAAUAGCAGCAUCACGAACGUCAAUGAUGUUAGCACAUCUAAACUUACAACUGAGCAAACAACCGAGUGACGGACCGGAUGGACGAGACACAGAUGUAUCCCAGCUAUGAAAAUGAUGAGCAGGUUAAUAGUGACAACACUGAUGAUGAGAUGAAGCGUGGGAGCGACAGCGAGAAAGCGGAGGCUACGAUCUAGACAGACCGCUUCUGCAAGUACGGCACUCUAGGGCAUACUUCAGUUGCUGAAAAGAGCCAACGGCAAAAACCGGAAACAUUUCAUCGUUCCACCGGCCUCCAGCCGGAGCUUUUUCGGCGGCAUUUCAUCGCUUUGGAUAUGCUCUUGACAAGUGAGGAAAACGAUAUGUCAGUGAUUAAACAAAUUAACGACGUAAAGAUACAUAUGAUAAGGUACUGAAAAAAUAUCAGUCAAGUAUUAGUCGAAGUUCAAGGCUAAGGACAGCUACAACAGUACAACGAACCAGAGAUCCGUAACUAUAAUACACGUUAGUGCAGAAGCCUUUGAAAAAUGUGUAAAACUUCAGCUUGAAACUCAUAUGUUCAAUGUAUUUUUUUUCUCAAAUUGAAAUGGAGCCUUACGAUCUCAAGACGCGUUGAAACGAGCACAAUGACGAACACGGUAUAUAAUACAUACCGCUACAACCACACACAUGGGGCAUGUACCUUGAAUCAUUGCAUGUGUUUAAAAAAAACGUCGAAAGAGAGUCGAACGUUUUCGCCUCAGCUAACACCAGGCAUUCAGAUGUUCAACAUAGCGUGAUAAUUUCCUUGGGAUCUAGAUAAUCCAGUUCACUGCGACUAUGUUAGCUGAAACAAAUGGAAACCUGUUAUGGCCAGCGUAUCGCUUGACGCAAACCAGGUAAGCGAAUAUUCCGUAGUCUAAACAAAAGAAAAAUCGUGUAUGUGCUUUUCUCGGACUAUCCGGAGGACCCCUGUAUAGGGUUUGAUCAUUUUGUUGUACUUGGG